This 211-nucleotide long non-coding RNA is filed under the name Lathyrus oleraceus (garden pea). Its description in RNAcentral is "Pisum sativum (pea) long non-coding RNA (PSAT_LNC001660)". Lineage: Eukaryota; Viridiplantae; Streptophyta; Magnoliopsida; Fabales; Fabaceae. The record is from RNAcentral.
UCUCUCUCAUUAUUGGUCCAAAUAUUAUGGGACCAAUUUCAUUCUUCUCUUUUUAAUUUCUACUUUCUAAAAAUGAUUUUUAAUUGUUUUUAUUUUACCAUUUGAUAUUUUUUAGUAAUUUUCUCUUUUCUGGUUAGUUUUAAUUCAUUUAAAAUAGUUUUUGAUAUACAAAAAAUACAAAAAUAUUUUUCUAACCUCUUUGAGUGAUGAU